Molecule: long non-coding RNA, 1207 nt
Filed under: Mytilus galloprovincialis (Mediterranean mussel)
Lineage: Eukaryota; Metazoa; Mollusca; Bivalvia; Mytilida; Mytilidae
Source: RNAcentral
CAUUAAUAUCUCAUAUUUAUAUGAAUUAAAUAUAACCAUAUAACAGGAAACCUUCAAGAAAAAAAAUGAAAAGAAAACAAUUUAGCAUGUAAAUAGAUGCAUAUUCAUGUACAUAUUUUGCUAUCUCUCUCUCAGUACCUAUGAACCUGCAAUGGUUAUGAAAAUAAAGAUAUUGAUAUUGAGCCAUUAAGAUGAAUGAGACUCUUAUCACAGCUUGUUUGUUAGCUAUUUCAGCCCAGACAAGAUGGCUUAAAUUAAAACGUUUAACAAAUCUUAACAUUAACUGUGUUUGGAGUUUAAUAACAGAUUUAAAUUAAAGUUACUGAAGUUUAUAAUUAUCCAAUAAUUGGGAGAAUUCGGCUUAUCCAAGGGGCAUAACUUAGAAACAUAAUUAGGUAACAAAAAUUUUGAACUUCACUUGUUCCUAGUUUCUAUGCCAUCUGGCCUCUGGUAGAGUUGUGGUAAUGACAAUCAUACUGUAUCUUUUUUUUAUUUUUAUACUGUAUUCAGAAGUUAGAUAGUCUUGUAUUAAUAUUUCAUAGAAGUACAAAAAGGUAAAGUAAAAUAAAAUGCAUUACAAUAUUUUAUUGAACAGUAGAUAAAAAAUAAAAAUAAAUAAAACUAUUAAUUUUUCCCCAGCAAAAACUUUUUGCUGUUGAUUCUAAUGAUGAGGAUAGAUACAAACUGAGCUAAAAUAAUCUGUUUUACCCAUAUAAACUGGAUCUAGUUACUAAAAAUAAAACCUACUUAAUAACAUUAUAAUCACAUAAACAAAUACCCUGAUGAACAAAAUGAAGUUAUGACACUAUGUACUGUGAAUUCAUUAUAAUUCGUGGGAUACCAAUUUUCAUAGAUUUCAUAGGCAAAGAUGAACAUCAAAUUUAAAUAUUUAUUAAAAUGCAAAUUUUCUUCAGGCUUUUUUAAAGACUUUGCCAUACCAUAUAAACAAAUAUCUUAGAAAAUAUUGUUUUUCUUAAAUCCACGCCAAAAUUGGUACCCAUGAAAAUAGAAGCAGUAUGCCUUUCUUUCAAACAUCAUGUUGUCACCUCCAUGUGUUUCCUUGACAACAUAAAAUGUAAACAAUUCAUAGUGAAACAAUAACAAUUGAAUGCCACUUUGAUAAACAUAUUAUAUAUUCAUUUUAAAAGUAUAAAGAAAACCCCACUUUAUCUAAUUCAACUUUGGAUAACUUUCUAACAAUAAUAAC